This 443-nucleotide ribosomal RNA is filed under the name uncultured bacterium. Its description in RNAcentral is "bacterial SSU rRNA". It matches the Rfam family "Bacterial small subunit ribosomal RNA", at positions 958 to 1398 of the family's 1533-position model. The record is from RNAcentral.
AACGCGAAGAACCUUACCUGGGCUAGACAACGGCGGACCGCCUGGGAAACCAGGCUUUCCCUUCGGGGACUGCCGGUUCAGGUGGUGCAUGGCUGUCGUCAGCUCGUGUCGUGAGAUGUUGGGUUAAGUCCCGCAACGAGCGCAACCCUCGUCCUAUGUUGCCAGCGGGUAAUGCCGGGGACUCAUAGGAGACUGCCGGGGUCAACUCGGAGGAAGGUGGGGAUGACGUCAAGUCCUCAUGCCCCUUAUGUCUUGGGCUGCAAACAUGCUACAAUGGCCGGUACAAAGGGUUGCGAGACCGCAAGGUGGAGCGAAUCCCAAAAAGCCGGUCUCAGUUCGGAUUGGGGUCUGCAACUCGACCCCAUGAAGUCGGAGUCGCUAGUAAUCGCAGAUCAGCAACGCUGCGGUGAAUACGUUCCCGGGCCUUGUACACACCGCGCAUA